ACUGAGCGAGUGUUAAUUAAUAGGAAUGAGCCCGAGCCCGGGAAAACGGGCCGGCCCGCCAGAGGACCCCUAAACUCUGUUUCUAUAUGUAACUUCUGAGUAAAACCAUAAAUAAAUCAAAACUUUCAACAACGGAUCUCUUGGUUCUGGCAUCGAUGAAGAACGCAGCAAAAUGCGAUAAGUAAUGUGAAUUGCAGAAUUCAGUGAAUCAUCGAAUCUUUGAACGCACAUUGCGCCCGCCAGUAUUCUGGCGGGCAUGCCUGUUCGAGCGUCAUUUCAACCCUCAAGCCCUCGGGUUUGGUGUUGGGGAUCGGCGAGCCCUUGCGGCAAGCCGGCCCCGAAAUCUAGUGGCGGUCUCGCUGCAGCUUCCAUUGCGUAGUAGUAAAACCCUCGCAACUGGUACGCGGCGCGGCCAAGCCGUUAAACCCCCAACUUCUGAAUGUUGACCUCGGAUCAGGUAGGAAUACCCGCUGAACUUAAGCUAAUCAAUAAGCGGAGGAAGCA
RNAcentral lists this ribosomal RNA (504 nucleotides) under uncultured Fusarium. RNAcentral describes it as "eukaryotic LSU rRNA". The stretch from base 121 to 274 matches the Rfam family "5.8S ribosomal RNA". Lineage: Eukaryota; Fungi; Ascomycota; Sordariomycetes; Hypocreales; Nectriaceae. The record is from RNAcentral.